RNAcentral lists this ribosomal RNA (2034 nucleotides) under Clostridioides difficile DA00261. Its description in RNAcentral is "bacterial LSU rRNA". It matches the Rfam family "Bacterial large subunit ribosomal RNA", at positions 872 to 2925 of the family's 2925-position model. Lineage: Bacteria; Bacillati; Bacillota; Clostridia; Peptostreptococcales; Peptostreptococcaceae. The record is from RNAcentral.
GGGGCUAGCCUCAAGGUGAGAGAUACGGAGGUAGAGCACUGAAUGUCCUAGGGGGUAUUGCACCUACCGAAGACUAUCAAACUCCGAAUGCCGUCAUCUUAUACUUGGGAGUCAGACUGUGGGUGAUAAGAUUCAUAGUCGAAAGGGCAACAGCCCAGAUCGUCAGCUAAGGUCCCUAAAUGUAAGUUAAGUGGUAAAGGAUGUGGGAUUGCACAGACAACCAGGAUGUUGGCUUAGAAGCAGCCACUCAUUCAAAGAGUGCGUAAUAGCUCACUGGUCGAGUGAUCCUGCGCCGAAGAUUUCCGGGGCUAAAACUUACUACCGAAGCUACGGCAUCAGUAAUGAUGGGUAGGGGAGCUUCCCAUACGGGUUGAAGCAUGACCGUAAGGGCAUGUGGACAGUAUGGGAGUGAGAAUGUUGGCAUGAGUAGCGAGAUGUGGGUGAGAAUCCCACAGGCCGUAAACCCAAGGUUUCCAGGGGAAGGUUCGUCCGCCCUGGGUUAGUCGGGACCUAAGCUGAGGCCGAAAGGCGUAGGUGAUGGACAACAGGUUGAUAUUCCUGUACUACCGAUAACCGUUUGAGAGAAGGGAUGACACAGUAGGAUAAGCUAAGCACACUGUUGGUUAUGUGUGCCCAAGCAUUGAGGCAGUCUAAAGUAGGCAAAUCCGCUUUGAUAAUGCUGGGAUGUGAUGGGGAGCGAAAUUUUAGUAGCGAAGUAGCUGAUUUCACACUGUCAAGAAAAGUCUCUAUCGAGGGUAAAGGUACCCGUACCGCAAACCGACACAGGUGGGUGAGGAGAGUAUCCUAAGGCCAGCGAGAGAACUGUUGUUAAGGAACUCGGCAAAAUGACCCCGUAACUUAGGGAUAAGGGGUGCCACCAUCAGGUGGCCGCAGAGAAUAGGCCCAAGCGACUGUUUACCAAAAACAUAGGUUUCUGCUAAGUCGCAAGACGAUGUAUAGGAGCUGACGCCUGCCCGGUGCUGGAAGGUUAAGGGGAUCUGUUAGAGCAAUCGAAGCAGUGAACUUAAGCCCCAGUAAACGGCGGCCGUAACUAUAACGGUCCUAAGGUAGCGAAAUUCCUUGUCGGGUAAGUUCCGACCCGCACGAAAGGCGUAACGAUUUGGGCACUGUCUCAACAACAGACUCGGUGAAAUUGUAAUUCCGGUGAAGAUGCCGGAUACCUGCGACAGGACGGAAAGACCCCAUGGAGCUUUACUGUAGCUUGACAUUGGGUCUUGGUACUACAUGUACAGGAUAGGUGGGAGGCUUUGAAACCAGGACGCCAGUUUUGGCGGAGCCAUCCUUGGGAUACCACCCUUGUAGUACUGGGACUCUAACCAUAGGCCAUGAAUCUGGUCUUGGGACACUGUCAGGUGGGCAGUUUGACUGGGGCGGUCGCCUCCCAAAAGGUAACGGAGGCGCUCAAAGGUUCUCUCAGUACGGUCGGAAAUCGUACGUAGAGUGUAAAGGCAAAAGAGAGCUUGAUUGCAAGACAUACAGGUCGAGCAAGGAUGAAAAUCGGACUUAGUGAUCCGGUGGUUCUGCGUGGAAGGGCCAUCGCUCAACGGAUAAAAGCUACCCUGGGGAUAACAGGCUUAUCUCCCCCAAGAGUCCACAUCGACGGGGAGGUUUGGCACCUCGAUGUCGGCUCAUCACAUCCUGGGGCUGUAGUAGGUCCCAAGGGUUGGGCUGUUCGCCCAUUAAAGUGGUACGCGAGCUGGGUUCAGUACGUCGUGAGACAGUUCGGUCCCUAUCCGUCGCAGGCGUAGGAAAUUUGAGAAGACCUGUCCUUAGUACGAGAGGACCGGGAUGGACGUACCUCUGGUGUACCAGUUGUUCUGCCAAGGGCAUGGCUGGGUAGCUAUGUACGGAAUGGAUAAGCGCUGAAAGCAUCUAAGCGCGAAGCCAACUUCAAGAUAAGAUUUCCCACCGCAAGGGUAAGACCCCAGAAAGACUAUCUGGUUGAUAGGUCGAAGGUGUAAGUGCAGCAAUGUAUUUAGCUUAUCGAUACUAAUAGGUCGAGGACUUGACCAA